Molecule: transfer RNA, 73 nt
Filed under: Stegodyphus mimosarum
Lineage: Eukaryota; Metazoa; Arthropoda; Arachnida; Araneae; Eresidae
Rfam family: tRNA
About the family: Transfer RNA (tRNA) molecules are approximately 80 nucleotides in length. Their secondary structure includes four short double-helical elements and three loops (D, anti-codon, and T loops).
Source: Rfam by way of RNAcentral
GCUUUUUUGGUGUAGUGGUCAGCACACUGGGCACGCAUUCGAGAGGUUCGAGGUUCGAUUCCCGGAGAGGGCA